GACAGAGGGGGCAAGCGUUGCUCGGAAUCACUGGGCGUAAAGGGCGCGUAGGCGGGAUGGCAAGUCGGUCGUGAAAUCCUUCGGCUCAACCGAAGAACGUCGGCCGAUACUGCCGUUCUUGAGGGAUGCAGAGGAGAUUGGAAUUCCCGGUGUAGCGGUGAAAUGUGUAGAGAUCAGGAAGAACACCGGUGGCGAAAGCGUUCUGCUAGACCUGUACUGACACUGAGGGACGAAAGCUAGGGGAGCGAAUGGG
RNAcentral lists this ribosomal RNA (253 nucleotides) under uncultured bacterium. Its description in RNAcentral is "partial 16S ribosomal RNA". It matches the Rfam family "Bacterial small subunit ribosomal RNA", at positions 524 to 776 of the family's 1533-position model. The record is from RNAcentral.